RNAcentral lists this ribosomal RNA (484 nucleotides) under uncultured bacterium. RNAcentral's name for it is "bacterial SSU rRNA". It matches the Rfam family "Bacterial small subunit ribosomal RNA", at positions 30 to 507 of the family's 1533-position model. The record is from RNAcentral.
AUUGAACGCUGGCGGCAUGCCUUACACAUGCAAGUCGAACGGCAGCACGGGAGCAAUCCUGGUGGCGAGUGGCGAACGGGUGAGUAAUAUAUCGGAACGUGCCCAGUCGUGGGGGAUAACGUAGCGAAAGCUACGCUAAUACCGCAUACGAUCUAUGGAUGAAAGCGGGGGAUCGCAAGACCUCGCGCGAUUGGAGCGGCCGAUAUCAGAUUAGGUAGUUGGUGGGGUAAAGGCUCACCAAGCCAACGAUCUGUAGCUGGUCUGAGAGGACGACCAGCCACACUGGAACUGAGACACGGUCCAGACUCCUACGGGAGGCAGCAGUGGGGAAUUUUGGACAAUGGACGCAAGUCUGAUCCAGCCAUUCCGCGUGCAGGAUGAAGGCCCUCGGGUUGUAAACUGCUUUUGUACGGAACGAAAAGGUUUCUAUUAAUACUAGGAGCUCAUGACGGUACCGUAAGAAUAAGCACCGGCUAACUACGUG